RNAcentral lists this unclassified non-coding RNA (909 nucleotides) under Hevea brasiliensis (rubber tree). Lineage: Eukaryota; Viridiplantae; Streptophyta; Magnoliopsida; Malpighiales; Euphorbiaceae. The record is from RNAcentral.
GAAGAUACACAAUCAGUUGCAACACUGAUGGACUCCACAACCUCUAAGAUACAGCAGCUGCAGAAAGCAUUUGCUGAGCUGGAAAGUCAUCGUGCUGUUACACUAAACCUGAAGUGGAAGCAACUCGAAGAGCACUUUCAUGGGCUUGAGAAGUCCUUGAAGAGGCGCUUCACCGAAUUGGAAGACCAAGAGAAAGAGUUUGAAACGAAAAUAGUUCAAUCUAAAAAGAUAUUGGAGAAUCGUCAAGCUGCUGUUAUCUCUAGUGAGAAAGCUUCACUUGAGAGCCUCCAAGAGAAAAGAGAUGCUGCCGUUUCUGCCAUUACUAUUGCUAUGGAGAAGCAUAUGAAGUCUAAUUUCAUGGAACCUGCUGGUGCUACUUCUGAGGUGCAAGGUGAGUCGUCUAUGUUUGAUGCAAAGCCUCUUGAUUACAUACCACUUGAGAAUACAGAGGAUUAUAUGAAGCCUUUCAAGAACGGUGUUGUGGAAGUCAGAGGUUAUCCAGAUUUAGUCAAAUUAUGCCAAUAUAUGGACUCGGAAGGCCUCCUCAAAUUUAUAUCUGACAACCGCAAGAACCUGGCUGCUGUAAGGGAGGAAAUUCCAUCUGCUUUGAGAACUGCUGUUCAUCCUGCCUGUUUGGUGCUGGACUCACUCAAGGGUUUUUACCCCUCAGAAGUGUCAAUUUCAGAUGCUAAAAAAGAUGCAAAUCUUUUAGGUCUUCGCCGAACUUGUAUUAUGCUAAUGGAAUGCCUUAGCAUUUUAUUAACAACGCUGGAAUUGGAUUCUGUUUCAAGUUUAAUAUCAGCAAGUGUUAAGGAACGGGCAAAAGCUAUUGCUGAGGAGUGGAAACCAAAGUUAGAUGAGCUUGACAUUGAUGCAAAUAAUGGGAAUUCUUUGGAGGCUCAUGCAUUC